GAGGGUAUAGCUCAGUGCUAGAGUGUGUGCUUAGCAUGCAUGAGGUCCUGGGUUCAAUCCCCAGUAUCUCCA
Molecule: transfer RNA, 72 nt
Filed under: Camelus bactrianus (Bactrian camel)
Lineage: Eukaryota; Metazoa; Chordata; Mammalia; Artiodactyla; Camelidae
Also listed under: 2 other names
Rfam family: tRNA
About the family: Transfer RNA (tRNA) molecules are approximately 80 nucleotides in length. Their secondary structure includes four short double-helical elements and three loops (D, anti-codon, and T loops). Further hydrogen bonds mediate the characteristic L-shaped molecular structure. tRNAs have two regions of fundamental functional importance: the anti-codon, which is responsible for specific mRNA codon recognition, and the 3' end, to which the tRNAs corresponding amino acid is attached (by aminoacyl-tRNA synthetases). tRNAs cope with the degeneracy of the genetic code in two manners: having more than one tRNA (with a specific anti-codon) for a particular amino acid; and 'wobble' base-pairing, i.e. permitting non-standard base-pairing at the 3rd anti-codon position.
Source: Rfam by way of RNAcentral